GACGAACGCUGGCGGCGUGCUUAACACAUGCAAGUCGAACGGUGAAGCGCCUUCCUUUUUGGUGGGUGUGGAUGAGUGGCGAACGGGUGAGUAACACGUGAGUAACCUGCCCCCAUCUUCUGGAUAACCGCAUGAAAGUGUGGCUAAUACGGGAUAUUCUGGGUCUGUCGCAUGAUGGGUCUGGGAAAGAUAUUGUUUCGGUGGGGGAUGGGCUCGCGGCCUAUCAGCUUGUUGGUGGGGUGAUGGCCUACCAAGGCGGUGACGGGUAGCCGGCCUGAGAGGGUGGACGGUCACACUGGGACUGAGACACGGCCCAGACUCCUACGGGAGGCAGCAGUGGGGAAUAUUGCACAAUGGGCGCAAGCCUGAUGCAGCGACGCCGCGUGAGGGAUGGAGGCCUUCGGGUUGUGAACCUCUUUCGCCAGUGAAGCAGGCCUGCCUCGUUUGUGGGUGGGUUGACGGUAGCUGGAUAAGAAGCGCCGGCUAACUACGUG
This 494-nucleotide ribosomal RNA is filed under the name uncultured bacterium. RNAcentral describes it as "partial 16S ribosomal RNA". It matches the Rfam family "Bacterial small subunit ribosomal RNA", at positions 28 to 507 of the family's 1533-position model. The record is from RNAcentral.